Xyrichtys novacula (pearly razorfish) is the source of this 2338-nucleotide non-coding RNA. The record is from the annotation of a GenBank genome assembly. NCBI's taxonomy places the organism in Eukaryota, Metazoa, Chordata, Actinopteri, Labriformes, Labridae.
GCAUAAAUGUGUGAGGAAUCUUGUGACAGAGGUUUCUGAUCCAAACACAAACUUUUAUUUUAAUUUAUUUUUAUUUUAUAUAUAUAUUUUUGAACAUGUGUGUGCAACACAAGAAAGUAAACUGAAAAAAAAUUAAUCAACAGUUGCAAAUACUUUGGAUAUCUGCAUGUAAACAAUCACCUGAAAUGAUUAAGGUCCUUUUUACACAUGGGGAGCAUUUUAUUCAUGCGAUUAUUUCGGGGGUCAAAAUUAUUUCUCGAACCCGUAUCUUGUCAAGCGUUCACAUCAGCAACGUUUUCCCAACCUGCGAUAUUGCGGCAUCUAUUUUUUCGGCUCACAGUCGAAUAUUCAAAAGUUUUGCAUACUGUGUGUCCACUUCUGACCAAUCAGAAUGCGUGUUGUUGCGACCUCAGAUUCACAGGUAUAUCCAACACAGCUGAGAGGCUGAUUGUAUACGUGUCGGAGAACAGAGUGCUUUCUGAUAAAAGACACAAAUAUUACAAAAAUAAUAAAUUUAACAGUUUGCUAAACAUCUUUCUGGGAUGGAUCAGGUAGCGACAAGGUUAAAUGGCUGUGAUGCAAACCUAUAAAUUCUUUUGUGAUGAAGUCAGUAAAAAUCUGUCUAAAACACACAGUAUCGGAUUUAAAUGAGCAUGGACUAAUGAACUUAGACAUGGCUUUUUUUUUUUGUCUUCAUUUAAAGCUCCUUUCACACUGGGACCGUUUUUUCGUGCGAUUAUUUUGGACGUCAAUAUUUUUUUUUUUGAACCCGUAUCCUGUCAAUACAAGCGUUCACAUCAGUGACGUUUUCCCCGUCCUGCAAUAUGCGGCAUUUAUUUUUUCGGAUCACAGCCGAUUUUUCUAAAGUUUCGCAUACUGUGUGUCCACUUCUGACCAAUCAGAUUUUGUGUUGUUACAACGUCAGAUUCACUGGUUUAUCCAACAUGGCCGACCGGCUGAUUGUUUAUGUGUUGGAGAACAGAGUGCUUUUUGAUAAAAGACACAAAUAUUACAAAGAUAACGACUUGAAGGACAACUUGUGGAGAGUCAUAGCGUCGGAUUUCUCAUAUAACGAUGGUUUGUGUGCUUUAACAGUUUGCUAAACGUCUUUGUUUUAACUUUCAUCUGUGCUAAGUAACUUUAGCUCAUAAGCUAACCUGUUCAGAUACAACAUACCAUAUGUAUUUUCACUGUCUCAAACUCAAUUGUGUUGCUGUCACAGCACCAUUAAGUCUCGGUUGUACCUUACGUUUAUGGAUUAUAGUUUAAUGUGCUUAUCUGGUACUGGCCCCGACUCAGUACAACUCAAUUGCGUUGCUGUCACAGCACCAUUAGGGGUCUGUUCUACAAAGCAAGUUCAACCUAGCCUUGGAGCUACCUCGCUUAACUUACCAUGGUAGCCAGCAGUCUCGCUAAACAGUCUUACGACGCUGGUUAUCAACCUCGUAAGUGGAUCCAGCUUUGCUAUGAGCAUGUGCACGCAUGUAAGGCGGAGCCUGCCGCAUCUGACCAAUCGCGAACAUGGACCAGUCUGGAGCGUCAGAGCAGACCAGAGAGUGAAGGACCGCAGACUUUACAAACGAGGAGCUGGAGACGAUCAUGAGAAAGUAUGAAGAAUUCAAAUCUAUCAUAAACCUCAAAAGUAACACCGUCGCCGCUGCAAAAGUACGGAAGGAAUGCUGGCAGAAAAUUGCAGACAGUCUCAAUGCGUAAAUAUAUUUUUGAUGCCAUUAUCACCCUGAAAUAGCACUGUUCAACAUGCACUUUUAACAUGCACCAGACAUGUCUGAUUCAUUUCCAAGAUGAAUUCAUUCAUUUGUUCAUUCCUAUUGUGUUUACAUUUUUGUGUGAUAUGUAAGCCAUAUGAGCCUUUCAUAAAGGUGGUCAUCCGGAAAUGUAAGUGGGUCCGUGUGGUCCCUGAAAACUCUUGCACGCUGGAGUGCUCCUCGGACAAUGCGAGCACUGAGGUCUAUAGGAUCCUCCAAGAACAGACAAGCCAUAUAUUUGCGUCAUUCCUGGUGUGUAAGAACCUUAAGGGCUACACCUGCUGCGAAGUAAAACGUUUGCAUCACCAUGGUAACCAGGUGGUAGACAUUCUGACUCAUUAUUGCUGUAAAAUCUCUAUAUAGUGAAUGCAAAUAUUCUUUGGUGGUAUUGUUAAGUCACUCACUGGGUCACCACAGGCAGCUGCAGACUUUGGUCAUAGGACGGCAGCAUACAGUCCUACUUCUUAACACUGCAGGCAAACAGUUUAGUUUUUUACUGCGUUAAAGUUGCUGUUAUGAAGAGUUAAGAAAUUAAACUAAGUAAGUAAACACAGAGAUCUCAAACUGCAAAA